AUGGGCUGGCAGUUAAACAGGAGAUUAGACACAUAGAGGUUUCUUGAUGUCGUCUGUCACAGCUGUCUAUCAACAGAGCUCAUGGGGCAUUUCCCUGGCCCCACAGCCUUUUCAGACCUACCCUGCUGCCACCAUCCUUGUGUAGUUCCAUGAGAGAUAGAGUUCCAUGAGUUCUGACUCGCCUUUUCGCCUUUGGCCAACAAUUUAAAGACGAUUGCUGCUUGAUGGUGCACGCAAAUAAAUUAAUAGUCUUGGUUCUGGCUGAAGUGUCUAGAGUCUGAGACCUUCACUGGCCCCACACAGAAAGCCAAGGAUUGACAGAAGCACUAGCAAAAGAAAGUCCCAACAGGUCAAGGGAAGGGGCAUUACAGACUAAUAAAACCUGUUACUACGCGGAGAACUUUGCUCAACUUUUGAUGUCAGAAAAGACAGCCUAGACUGGCAGGUAAAUCUCCCUGAAAAUAGAAGAAAUCAAGGUUAGAGCAACAUAUUUAUCCCAGGUUACUUAGUAAAUAUGGAAAUACUGUAAAAAGUGAAUUUGAGAUUUUACAGAAGGAAGGUGUCGUUGAAUGGCAAUAACAGUAGAUAGAUGCUUUACUCUGCCCUCCAUUUUUCAGUGUCCUGCCCUCAGGUUGUUCUUCAGCAUUUGGCCAAGGUCAGACAGCUGAGACUGAAUUUUUUCUGAAGUUUCUAAUGUUCGCAAUAAAUUAUUAAAAUUACAGUAAAGGACAAUAGCUUUUUUUAACUGGCAAAUACGUUUUUAGUGUCACCAGAAAAUGGUGCCUGUGAACCUGGAUGUUACUCUGAUUUUUUAUGAUUGCUUUCGGCUUCUAAGUUUGGUGCAAAAGGUAGCCAUGUCCCAGAAAAAAAAAUGCGUGCCCUUUUAAAUGGAAUUCCAUAGGCUGAAAUUUAUCCAUGGUAAAUGUUUCACAUACAGUAAAUUAUGCAGGAGGUUCCACAAACAUUCCUGUACUCUCAGUAAUGAAGGUGAGCACUGAAGUAGCACAAGUACAUGGUUUAGCCAUCCAACUGUUUGUGUUUCUCCCAGGAAUUCAACACUUUUCACAAAUAACUACACUUUGCAGUUCCAUAACACAAAUCCUGUGACCCCACAGGACAACUGCAAAGGUAGGGUAAACACCUCUCGUUCUAUUUUAUAGGUACUUAGCACUUAUGAAAUGCAAGCUCAAGGCAGGCUGUGAGGAACAUCUGCACUUAGAGAAGUCCUUCUGGAAAGCAAAUGGAAAUUAUUUGCUCAAAUAUUAUGCUCCUCCAGCAAUCAGUGGAACUAUUAAUUAACCUGAGGGUGUCCCUUGCCCACUGUGAGCAUGGCAGGAUCCAUGUGAGGGGGCAGAGAAAGAUACAGGCUCACAUUCCAGCAAAGAUGUCCACAGAGGGAUGCACUUCCCUCUGAGGAGCUAUCAGGUCCCACUGACACCGCUGCCUUCUAACACGGACGUUCUCCAGCCUGCAUCAGUCAUCAUAGGACACAGCUCUUUUCAUACCAUCUUCCCAACACAGCGCUGAGGCUCCUGUGGAAUUGCCCUCUGUCUGUCAGCGUUCCUACCUGUGCCUGUGGUCAGUGCUGAUACUCAGGUUUCACAUCAACCAGGAAUGGUACAAGCUUGGCCAGGGACUCCAGGCAGUGGCUGCUGGGUUCUGCAAGGCCUAGGGGCAGGAGCACUGUGGCUUCCCAGGAAUAUCACAAGCAAAUAGUUGUCAGCAAGCCCCAGGUGCACACAGGUAAGCCCAUCAGAUUGCUUUAAACUCUCAUCCCUUGUAUGAGCGUGAAAAUAAUCACCAUGUCAGAUAAACUUCUGCUUUUUAUUAAAAAAAACAAAAAACAAACAAAACAAACAAAACUUAUAAGGUAAUUGAUUGCUUUCUUCUAGUCUUUUAUUAGUUAUGAUUAAGGAGCUAUAGUAGCCCUGUUUACACAGCUCUAACAAGUCAGGACCUGCAGAACGUUAUUGGCUUGGGGCCCACAACUUGCCGUCCAUUCUCAACAGAAUCAAUCUGGAGCUGAAAACAUCCCCGUAGGAAGCGUACACAUCCCUGCUUAUACAGGAACAGAAACAGCAAUAACUUCAGGUCCUGUAAGCUGCAAGUUCAACUCACAGAGAUCAGCCCUGACUUGUCAUCGCUCUCAGCAUGUUGGUGAUGAGAUCAGAGCACUUCACCAAGGACUCAUACUUCCAGCUUGACAAGGGACAGAGGUGAGCGUGUUACACCUCACUGUUACUCCCCUGCAACUGCAGAAACGAACCCAGAGCUCCUCUGUUUAACAUGCAGCCACAGCACUGCCAAUCUAAAAUGGCUGAUCAGUAAUACUUUAAUUGCAGUUUCAUAGAAACAAAUUGCUAUUUAAUUGCAAUAAGCUUGUCUGUGGCUUAGCUGGACUGACAAUAGGCAUACACCUGGUAGUAAGAGUAACAAGCAUCAAGGGUUAUCUGGUACUGCAUGUACAGGAGUCUUAGACAGUGCCAUCAAACCCAGAACACAAUUUCAAACUAAUUAAAUGUAUAACUUUAAAAAAUGUAUAUACAUAAAUUUCCUAAUCUCAAUUUAAUUUUGUAAUAGAACCGUUCAGAAUAAAUACUUGGAAAAAGCUACACACUUCACAUAAAACUACCAGCAAAACACUUUGAUAAAAGAUUUGAAUUGAAAUGAUCUUUUGAAAUCACAGAACCAGGUUGGAAAAGACCUCUGAGAUCCUCGAUUCUAAUGACUCUGACUGAACACCACUGUGUUAACCAGACUGUGGUACUCAGUGCCACGUCCAGUCUUUCCUUAAACACCUCCAGGACUGGUGACUCCACCACCUUGAUAGCAAGGCAUACUCUGCCAGUAUGUGAGUUUUGGGCUUUUUUUUUUAGUAUUUACCCUAAUGUUAGGUGAUGCAAAUUUUAUCAGUUUUAACUAACAGGGAAAAAAAAAGGGAGACAAACUCAGUGUGGUUAAUAUUCUGAAGAUGUGACUUAAUUUCAUAGGCUUCAUUUUGUUAAGACAUUCUCAUUUUAUAUUUCAUAAGAUACUGCAUAACCUGUUAAAAUAUUUAAAGAUAAAUCAUGUAGGACUGAAAAGACAGUAUCUUGUUGCAAACAGAAUUUGGUUUGGAAAGGCUUAAUGUCCCACUGCCUGCCAGGAUGCGUAAAUCUCAUAACUAGACAGCUGGAUAGGUAAAAACAUUAAACCCAUUUAGAGGGCAAUCUUUUUACAAAAUUGUUUCAUUAAUAAGAGUGACAAUUUAUAUGAUUGAGAUGUUUAGAUGCAGUAUAGACAGAGCAUUUUAUCCAGGUUCAUGAGGAUGAUUUCAGAUUAGUAAUAUUUCCUUUGAUUCUUUUUUUAACAGCAUUCAUUUUUGAAAGUAAGGAAAGCUCUUACUGAAUGAUUAUUUUACUUUUCAGCAGCACUAAAUGCAGAGGGUGUAUUUCACCCUCAGUGCAGCAAAUACAUGUGAUAAAAGGUGAAGAAGUAUGUGUUUUUCUUUACCGAUCUCUUUAAAAAGAAGUGAUUUUUCACAUAAGGACAAAUCUAAGUGUUUCCAGUAGCCUUCUGCCCACAGCUACCCGUCCCCAUUACAGCCUGUUUCAUUGUGUGAAAUGCCUCUGGUUUUAAGAAAGUGUUUUACCUAAAGCAAGAAUACUACUUAAAUAUGUUCUAUUGUAUAUUCAUAGCUCCAUUAGUCCUCCUGCAAUUUAGCACAUCAAAGCAAAGGCUUCAUCACUUGCAUGUGGAUUAUGCUAACAUGAGUGACAUUUGUAAUCUUAUAGGUCUGCAACUUAAGAAAUGCUUUUAAAGUAAGCUAUUAAAUAGGUAGCUGUGCUUUACAAAUGAGUCAUAUAAUAGUUUAUUUAAAGCUGUUAAUGAACUUCAACCCCUACAUCACUAAAUGCAAUACUACAUUACUUACUAGAAGUUAUUAGCUAUCUUCUUAGCACUUCUAGGUUAUAUUGGACAACCAAAAAUCUGUACAUGUUAGAUUUAAACACUGUACCUUGAGUGCUUAUACUGAAAGAAUAUAAAAAGAUGUCUACAGUCUCGCUAAUACUUGAAUUCUAUAUUCAUAUGACUUCAAGUGUCUUUUCAAAGAUAUUGAAGCAGCACAAUUUGCAGGACUCUGAAGACUUUAAUGCCAGAUCAAAAAGCUUAGAAAGUUAUUUAAAAUACCCACAAGUGCAUUUAAUUAAAAGUCAUACAUAGUGUCAGUCAUGUACAUUGUGCUUUAUAUGUUAUGAAAGUAGUAUUCUGUUUUUACUGUCUGAUACUGUAUGUUGCUAGAUUUUUUCUCUGAAACAGUGCUUCCUCCUCAAGCACUCAAGUGUUUAAAGAAGAAAUUCAGCAGCCCUCCAAUAUACUAGAGGUCAUGAAGUAGUAUCUGAAACAAAAAUAUCUGCUGUUGGUUGUUUAGACAUAUAAAUCUAUAAAUCAGCUUUUUGUGUAUUGGCAACACAACAAAAAUAAGUCAAGCUCACUCCAUAACCGAGCAGCUGAGCAGUGAACACUUUCUGAAAAACAGAAUUAAAAUAAUGAUGUGUUAUGAAUGUAUUCGUUUCCUAUAAAAGUAGACUAUUUCUUAAUAUUGAUUUGCUUUCAAUUGCAGCAAAGGCAGAUUCGUUGCUUGCAGGUUCCUGAGUGAAGGCACACAGUGGACAGCCACAGAUCCAUGUUAGUAUUCUUGCUAAAAACAUGAAAAGUCAGAUUUUUUUUUUUCUCAAAAGUAUUCUGCACAGAUCAACCACCAAACAGCUGAUGGGAAAAAUGUGCAAAAUGAAGUUGUUUCCUUUCUAAGCUUAGAGGUGGCUCUGCUGCUUUAUGGGGAGAUGGUUUUUGUUUAUUUGCUUUCAGAGAACAGAUCAUAUUUUGAGAUCAGCUAGUUCUCAGAAACAGCCCAGGAAACAGGUUUUUCUUUCCUUAAGAUUAUCAGUGUUGAAAAGUUAGUCUCUCACCCCAGCAAACACAACUUGAUGUUGUUCAGAUCAGAAUAGCUAUUGUAUUCCUUUUCAUGAAUACUCAAUUCUAGUGCUCAGCAUGAGGUACAGACCUUUAGUUGGCUUUUAUUUUUUUGACCUCUUAUGGUAUAUUCAUACCCUCUUAUGCUUGCAUGCUCAGAGACACAGGCACAUCCUUAACACAGAAGGAACUGGAAAGAAAGAGACCACAGUACCUCUGUGUGUGCUGUAAUUCAUUGCAAUGGGAAUCAUAAUGUACUUGAUGUUACCAGAAUUAGGAAUCUCCAUGAUUUUUUUUUUUUUUUGAAGUAGUACUCGUUAUCCUUGCCACAAGUAACACAAGUAGUUUAGCAGAUUCCUUCCUGGCAUAAGACAAAAGAAAAAAUCCAAACCAAAAACCUACUUUUAAAGGUAAUUGACAAUAAAGGUAACGACUAUGUAAGAUGAAGUUACAGAAUAUUUUGAAUGUAAUUUUUAAAAAAAAGCAAAGCUUCUAAAACCCAUACUCAGUUUUGUUUUACUUUUUAUUAUUUAAAUACACCAUACUAGAGCAAAUGUCUCUGAAAAUAUCACAAAUAAAAGAUUUUUCUUCAUUCAGCAAAUUAGAAGUAGGUGAAAAUUUCUACACAGUAGC
This is a long non-coding RNA of Parus major (Great Tit), 5586 nucleotides long. RefSeq lists it as uncharacterized. The transcript is spliced from 3 exons. NCBI's taxonomy places the organism in Eukaryota, Metazoa, Chordata, Aves, Passeriformes, Paridae. The record is from RefSeq and is a predicted model, not a curated record.